UUUCCGUAGGUGAACCUGCGGAAGGAUCAUUAUUGUAUAACCGAGAUGCGAGGGCUGUCGCUGACCCGAAAGGGCGUGCACGCCCGAGUGCCCUCACACACAUCCAUCUCACCCCUAUGUGCACCACCGCGUGGGUCCCCCUUUGGCUUGUUCGGAGGGGGGCUUACGUUUUCACACAAACUUUGUAUGCAGUGUAGAAUGUACUUUUUGUUUUUGCGAUCACGCAAUCAAUACAACUUUCAACAACGGAUCUCUUGGCUCUC
RNAcentral lists this unclassified non-coding RNA (263 nucleotides) under plant metagenome. RNAcentral describes it as "partial contains small subunit ribosomal RNA, internal transcribed spacer 1, and 5.8S ribosomal RNA". The record is from RNAcentral.